GCCAGAUGUGAGCGGCCGCGGAGCCUCGAACGCUCCCAGUGCAUUUUAUCCAAACAGCAGCCGCCAAGGAUUAACUGUGUGUGUGCCCGGCUGGCAGGGGAGCGCCGAGCGCCGGUGCUGCCCUGCUCCUGGCCUCCCUCUCCCCUGGUCUCGCCAAUCCACCUGGAUGUCCUGCCUGCACUUUUUGUUUGGUCUGCACUCCUCCAGGCCUCUCCCUCAGGCUCCACCCAGACAGGAGAUGCUGGAAACAGGGACGCUGAGCCUCCUCCUUGCCUUGGAAUUCCUUCUCCACCUCUGCUCCGCACCUGUCUGCCUCGAAGGCUAAGAAAUUGAAACAGAAGGAGGAGGGUGUGCAUUUCGGACAUCCACCCAGCAUACCUUCGCACCAGGGUGAGUUGAGGACGGUGGAGAUGGAAGAAGAGCAAGGGUUCAGGGCUGUGGAGAGACCCUGGCAGCCAACCUGCCCCUGCGGGAGCAAAAGGACACAUGGUCCUGGUCCUCCGUGGCCCAUGGCAAGAUUAAGUAACUGUGUCGCCCCUGGGGAUGUGGCUUCAGCCACGUGAGGAGACUCGGAACCGCUCGCGAUCUUCAGCGUGUGUCUGAGGCUUGGCACACGCUCCAUCCCUGACGGGAAAACACAAAGAUAAGCGCGUCUCCUUUCCCGUGCGUAACUCGAGGGGCAUUUCCUGGUCAGCAAGACCCUGGCCCAGCACGCUGGCUGACCUCCGACCUUCCCUAAUUGCUCUGUCCCCAAACUACCUUCUCAGCAGGGAGAGGGCAAGAAGAAAACGGAAGGAGGCUGUGUCUUCACGCACCCCCUGCGGGACCUUUGUCCUCUUCGAGGCUGAAGGAUUCAGGUCUUUCUCAGAACUCCUGUGAACGGGGAAGUCCCUGAGGGCAGUGGGAAAGCUCGCUGUGGCCCUACCCAGGAGACUCAGGCCUGGGGAGGUCCUGGACCGAUACCAGAACUCAGCGCAGGGACACGCAGCUGGAAAGAAAAACCCUGGAGAUGGAAGAUGUGUUCUGCUCUCUUGCCCCAGGCUGCGCGAGACAGCUUUAGCGUCUAAGAACUGAAAGACAGCGACCUUUAACAUAAUUCCAAGACGUGCACUUGGAGGCCCCGUACACAGCAGAGCUCUAGAAACAUAGCCAAACAGCGAGCACCCCUUCUGGCGGCAGCUGGCUCGUCCUGACGGGAGGCUUUGCGUCCUCGGCCUGGGGUUGCUGCCCUCCCUUGGGGGCACCUCAGUCUCCUUGUCUCUGAAGCAGAGCUAGGUCCAGGAUCCCUCACCUGGAGCCUCUGAGGUCAGAUGUGUUCAGAGUGGGGUGCGAGUGUCACUAGAGCGUCUUCCCGGCCGGCUUUGGGCGGGGCCCCUUCAUCCGACGCUUGCGUUGUCUAUAGUGGGUUAAAUCAAGGCCAUUCCUAGUCUCACAGCCAUUCCAGUCACGUUGUUCUGUCAGACUCGUUCGUGCCAAAUUCAGGGGAACACGAAGUUUUCAGAGCCUUUUGCAUUUAGAGGAUUCGGGGUAAAGCGAGGGAGGACGUUCGUUUUAACUGUCAGUGUUGUAAGUGCCAUCUUCUCCCCUCUCUCCUCUUGGUUAGAGCCCCCAUGUCUCCCAAGAGUCAGAAAGAGGUUACUCAUUUUUCUUGAGGCAGAAACUUGGGGGUGGCCGUGAUACUCACCAUGGCGACAGAAGCCUGGGGUUUCCCAGGAUUUUUGUGAGAAGCAGAAGGCCCAGAGGCGUGGGAAGUCAGAGAAUGGGAAGGGAAUCUGAGUAUAUCUCGGGUGGUGCCACCAGGCCCACAACUCAAGCCAACAGGCAACCGGGCAAAGAGUCACGAGGCUAAGCUCCCGAAGAAAGCAAAGGCAGCCCUCAAGAAAAGAAAUAUUACGUCCUGCAAGCACGGAGCUAGCCGGGGCCCUGGUGGCCCUUGGUCGGGUACCUCCUCACUGCUUUAAAGUUGUAAGUAGGAAAGACGGCGGAUUUGGCAAUGCUUGGUUCUCUCCACUGUGGUCAUAGCCACCCCCACCAGCAACUGGGGAGGAAUGUUCUCAGCAAAGAUCUUGUUGGACAGCCCCAGCCAGUGCUAGGGACGAGAGUCGUGGCAAAAAAACACAAUGUUAACAAAUCAGAGCCCAAAGCCAGCAGUGGUGUCUGGGGAAGAUUUCAUCAGCCCUGCGAUGGGUCAGAGGCCAAGGCCAGUCAGAACCAUGAACCCCACCCCCCGAAGAGGUCUGUCUCUCAGGCUCCCAGGACAGCCUGUUGCAUGGUUGCAUGCCUAUUCUGGAAUUCCCUGGGAGCCCACACCUCCUACACAAGGAUGUCUGAGCCAGACUCCUUAAGUUCCCCUGGAUGUCCCCGAGUGGCUCCACGUUCUCAGAUAAGGGCAGCUCAUGGAUGUAAAACCCAGCAGCUCACCACGGGGGGAGGGGGGUCCAUUCCUGGAAUAUCCGCCUAGAGGCAGCACACUCCAUGCCCUCUGUGGUUUGGCAGUUCCGUCUCUCCUGGGCACGUCACGAAGCUCACUCUGUCUGUUUCCUCAUCAUUGGAAAAAACGACGUGACCUCGGUUAACGUCUCCAAGACGCUCAGUUCCAGAUAAGCCCAGCCCGUCAUUAGCGGCGCUGUGAUUUUUUUCCCACUUCGGCCCUAACGGUCUGCCUCUCCCGGCUAUUUUGGGCCGGGCUGCCCGACCAUCCCACUGUCAAGGGCAGAGACUGGUAUUGCAAACUUUUGAAUUCCAUUCCAAAGGGUAGCGACAGGCAGGCUCAGAUGGUGGCGUCCCACUGCCAAGGGAUGGGGGUGGGAGAGUCUCCGUGGAGAUUUGGAGAAGGAGCCGAGAUGGAAACUUGGCCGCCAGACCCAGCCUCCCUGGCCACCGGCCCACCCUCAUUGCUCCCCGAGGGCACUGCCGGUGUUCUGGAAGGCUCGGGGGCAGGUGGGACUCGGGCUGGCAGCUGCGAGGACAGAACAGGCUAAUCUGCUUUAGGGUCGUCAUCCUCGCACCCAGAGAGGACACUCCCGCUCCAAGGAGGAGUCAGCUCUGGACUCCAUGCAAAGACAGGUGGGCAGGGAUAAGAUUCUACACUUGCUAUUUUGUCUUUUUUUUUAACCCUUCCUGUGCUUUCAGACUCUAAUCAAGCCAUUUCAUGCCCCAUGCCUCAGCUUCUCCGUCUCUCAACGUCUACUGCCCUGUUUUGGGAAUUCCUUUUCAGCACUUGCAGUUACACGAAGACAGAGGACUAAUUAGGUAACACCACUUUACUGGAUGCACAAAAUGGGAGGGCCCCCUGGUGGACUGCACAGUUCUAAGCACCUAACUCUGAAAUGAAUGAGUCAAUCAGUAGGCACACGUAUGAAUGCUUAAAAUGAAGACUUUUUAGUCUUUUAUGCAGAAAUACAGGAGAUAAUUUCCAGGAGAAGGCCACGGUGAUGUCUCUGAUGAUGCAGAGAAGAUGAGGACAAGGAAAAUCAAAGGAAAACCUGGUUGGACAUGACUGUGGAGUCAUUGUUGACUGGCAAGAGAGCAACAUCAUGGCACAGCCUCCCGGGAAGGCAGCGUCUAUUCUCUAGAGGAUGCAAAUCCCCUUUGAUCUAGUCACCUUUCUUCUAAAAGUGUAUCCUAUGAUACACUUACACUUGUGCUCAAAUAACCAAGAUAUGCCCCAAAGCAUUGCUGUAAUGUAGAGAAAUCACAGACACCCUAAAAGGACAUCACAAGAAUCCUGGUAAAAUAAAUGACAGGACAUCACAUGGUGGAAUAGCACACACACAGCUCUUCAGAGAGUGAAGCAGCGUCCUAUAUAAUGAUAUGGAACAAGCAUUAAUGGGAAGUGAAAAAGUACAAACCCUAUUGAAAAACAUUAAAGAAGACCUAAGUCAAUCAGAAAAGCAUACCAUAAAAAAAAAUCUCAGUUCUCUCCCAAUUAAUCUACAGGCUCAAAGUAAUCCCAUUCCAAAUCUCAAGAAGUUGGGGUGGGUGGGAUGAAGGGGCUGGGGGAUUGCAACAUUUGAAGGCUUAUUAUAAAGAGGUGGUAAUGAGGACAGUUGUAUUGGAGCCACUGUGAAAAAUUAUACCAACACCACGUAAUAGAAAGUCCCCAAGCAGACUCAUGUGAACAUGGAAACUUGAUCUAUGACAAAACUUUGUAUCAGAUCAACUGAAAAGGACGGAUUUUUCCCUGAAAACAGCACUGAAGUUCUGUGGCAUCUGCGGAAGAGCAAUCUAACCAGAAAACAUAAGAAGUCACUCAGUAAUCAGGCAAUGAGAAAUCACUUCAUGCCAUCAGUUGGUGAUGUUAAUACACCUGAUAAUAUCUGUGACGUGACCCAAUCUCUCAGCCACUGCAGACAGUUUUAUUUCAUUUUUGUAAGUUAUAAUAGGCAUAUAUUUUAUUUAGGGAUACACACUUACUUGCUAAAAUUAUAAAAUAAAGCACGAGAAUGAUUAAUACAACA
This is a non-coding RNA of Vicugna pacos (alpaca), 4460 nucleotides long. The record is from RefSeq and is a predicted model, not a curated record. Lineage: Eukaryota; Metazoa; Chordata; Mammalia; Artiodactyla; Camelidae.